RNAcentral lists this ribosomal RNA (375 nucleotides) under uncultured organism. Its description in RNAcentral is "partial 16S ribosomal RNA". It matches the Rfam family "Bacterial small subunit ribosomal RNA", at positions 527 to 896 of the family's 1533-position model. The record is from RNAcentral.
GUAGGUGGCAAGCGUUGUCCGGAAUUAUUGGGCGUAAAGCGCGCGCAGGUGGGUUCUUUAAGUCUGAUGUGAAAGCCCCCGGGCUCAACCGGGGAGGGUCAUUGGAAACUGGGGAACUUGGGUGCAGGAGAGGAAAGUGGAAUUCCACGUGUAGCGGUGAAAUGCGUAGAUAUGUGGAGGAACACCAGUGGCGAAGGCGACUUUCUGGCCUGUAACUGACACUGAGGCGCGAAAGCGUGGGGAGCAAACAGGAUUAGAUACCCUGGUAGUCCACGCCGUAAACGAUGAGUGCUAAGUGUUGGGGGGGUUUCCGCCCCUCAGUGCUGCAGCUAACGCAUUAAGCACUCCGCCUGGGGAGUACGGUCGCAAAGACUG